Poecilia latipinna (sailfin molly) is the source of this 1478-nucleotide long non-coding RNA. RefSeq lists it as uncharacterized. Lineage: Eukaryota; Metazoa; Chordata; Actinopteri; Cyprinodontiformes; Poeciliidae. The transcript is spliced from 3 exons. The record is from RefSeq and is a predicted model, not a curated record.
CUCUGCAUAACCUGUAGUCCAUUGUGUGUGUGCGUGUGUAUUUGUGGGAGAUGGCAAGAUAAAAAAAAAAAAAAAAAAAAAAAAAGUUAUAAUUAGUGGAACAAACAGCAAGCAGGCACGAGGCACAGUAACGCAAGCUGCAGCUGGUUAAGCAGGGUCAAAGAGACAUAUUCCCUCCUCCCAUCCUCUCUCCUGAAUCCCCUCUGGUGGAGGGAGAUUGAGACAUUGGAGGACAGCCACAUUCAGCAGCAAGUUCUUUUCUCUACAGAUUAAAUUUGGAGACGCGCUUAUAUCGAUAUAUGCGCUUAUAUCGUUGCUUCACAAUCUGCCAUCAUGGAAAACUGGCCAUACAAAGAGUCAGCAUGUUUCUCACUCACUCACUCACACACACGGAAGCACAGUGGAAGAACAGAACCCCAGCGCUCUGCUUUUGGAAUCGGCACACUACAUUGCAUUACUAAUCACUAGACGAAGAGGGUUCGAAAGCGUGAGAACAGGGUUGCCCAUGCCCAAAAUAAAACUGUUUGAUCUAAGCGGCAUUCUCUAGAAUGUUAAUUCCAGAUAUAGUUAAAACGCUCACAGGAGGAUUCCAGAGUGAAUGUAAUCUGGAACUGACAGCGAUUUUAGUGUGUGACACAAUGUUUGGUAAUAACAUUAGCUGUGAAAGAUCCUAAACAGAGAUCAGAUCAGAUAGAUAAGACUGUCGCCCAUAGUUCAAACUAAAGUGAAUCCUGUGAAUUGAUCAUUAAAUUGAAUAUGUGGGUGGUGAGCUGCCUAUUUAAAAGAUAGAAUCCUUGUGGUUCCUUCAAGUUAUGGGACCUAAUCUUAUUAAGACGGGAUGGAACAUGUGCGCAAACACUCCACCCCCCCACCUCCCGAAAAGAAAAAAACAAAAAAAACAACCUAUGUAUUCUUUCUCAUUUAAUAUUGCUACAUUGUGUACAAUUUGACAACCCAAUGUGGGACAGAUUUUACAUUAUUAACUAUAACAAAAGAGGAUAGAAAAACAGCAUUUAACAUUAUUUACUAGCCUUUCUACCCAGAGCCAUCAUCAAUUAUUAUUUUUCUGCAGGAGUAAUGUAACGCCAUAUCUGUUAGAGAGCAGCUGCCUUAGAAAUUUGCCAUUUUCCAUGAGACUAUAUUAUUUUAAACAGCUUUUGUGCCAUUUCUUCUUCAUUUUUAAACAGGUUAAUGGUAUUGUAAAUAAAUGCUUCUUAACUUUGUAACAGGGUCCACAAAGAGGCGCUGUAAGGUGAAAGUGUGGCACGUUCACCAACUGGAGGUUUAUUCUGACUGCUGGUCCCCGUUCAACCGAUUCUGUCUAUUCCUAAUAUUUGAUAUUUUCAAUCUGUUAAAGCAAAUUUAUCUUGAUAAAACUUGCGUUUUAAAACAUAUUCAUUGUCAUAAUGAUUUACCUCUGAAUAAAGCAGAGGGGAAACAUGAAACUGGAUACCAUAAGUUAGAUAGAUCAUCAGUGU